ACCAGACUCCUACGGGAGGCAGCAGUGGGGAAUAUUGCACAAUGGGGGGAACCCUGAUGCAGCGACGCCGCGUGGGUGAAGGAGUACUUCGGUACGUAAAGCCCUAUCAGCAGGAAAGAAAAUGACGGUACCUGACUAAGAAGCCCCGGCUAACUACGUGCCAGCAGCCGCGGUAAUACGUAGGGGGCAAGCGUUAUCCGGAUUUACUGGGUGUAAAGGGAGCGUAGACGGCAUGGCAAGUCAGAUGUGAAAGCCCGGGGCUCAACCCCGGGACUGCAUUUGAAACUGUCAGGCUGGAGUGAAGGAGAGGUAAGUGGAAUUCCUAGGGUAGCGGUGAAAUGCGUAGAUAUUAGGAGGAACACCAGUGGCGAAGGCGGCUUACUGGACUGUAACUGACGUUGAGGCUCGAAAGCGUGGGGAGCAAACAGGAUUAGAUACCCGGGUA
RNAcentral lists this ribosomal RNA (445 nucleotides) under uncultured bacterium. Its description in RNAcentral is "bacterial SSU rRNA". It matches the Rfam family "Bacterial small subunit ribosomal RNA", at positions 330 to 792 of the family's 1533-position model. The record is from RNAcentral.